Molecule: long non-coding RNA, 1290 nt
Filed under: Vitis vinifera (wine grape)
Lineage: Eukaryota; Viridiplantae; Streptophyta; Magnoliopsida; Vitales; Vitaceae
Description: long non-coding RNA (VVIN_LNC007924)
Source: RNAcentral
UAUCAAAUUCCAAAUGUUUGAUCGAAAAGGUAAUCUUUUUCUUUCCUUUUUCCAAUCAGCAAUCCCUACACUUGACUGUUUUGGCCAGCAGCCAGAUCAUGUUCAGAAGUUUUCUCUGUGCCCUUCAAGAACCUGCCUAUCUUAUUGAUGUUUCACAAGUCUUGAACUUGUGCUGAACCAAUCACACACACACAAAUCAAAUUCAACUUUUUGAAAGCUAUAGCUGUCUCAAUUAUACUCCCUUGUAGAGCUAUCAGAUCUCAAAUAGUAGAAUCUAGCUUAUUUGUAAAAUUUACAAAAAAAUGAUUUCAUGUAACUUGUAUAGUUCUAGAAUAAAUUUCAUAUCCAUACUCUUGAGUGUGCAUAAGGGCAUUGAUUCCCUUGAAAGAUGUAAAACUGAUUGGUCCUAGUAUUGAUGUAAAAAUGUUCUUUGGAAGUUAGCAUCGGAAUAAGCAUGAUUAGAUGGAAGUGCCACUAUUUUUCCAUCUGUACAAACAUUGAACUUCUUCAAAAAGCAUCCUCCUUUUCUUUUUCAUCAAGCAAGGUAUCCCUUUUUCCCUUUCUGCAAUCCAAUACAGAAUAUCAAAAGGAUCUGGUUUAUGAGUUUGCAGUACCUUCCUUGAAAUUGACCCGUUUGAAUGAGAGUAAUUUUCUUCAACAAACAUAUGUAAUUCACUUCUAGAUGAUUAAAGCCUCUUUUAUGCUUGAUAUGGCUAUCAGAACCUAAAAAUCAAGGUAAGGGAACAUAAGAAAUAGGCAUCAGUUUUACUAUGUUUUAAAGUUUCGGUUUGAUCAAACCUUUUCACCACUUCUUCCCUCAUUGCCUAAUAUAUCUCCCAUCCACGCAAUUAAAUAUAAAAAUGAUCCCAAGAGAAAGAAAACAAAAAUUUCCCAUUGAUUUACAUCACCAAUGGGCAACAUCAAGCAUUAGAAUCCUAAGUAAAGAGUAAGAGAGAGAUGGGUAACCCUACCCGAAAUAGCACCUGACUAACCUGCAUUUCACAUUUACAAAUCCAUUCAGCUGGUGUUUCCCGUUUCUCAUAUGAAUAUGAACCAUUUCAGUCGGUGUUCCUGAUUUUUCAUAACUUAAACAAACAGAGCAUAGUUAUUUUUCUCGAGAAGCAAACUUCAUGAUUUCCGCAAAUUUGAUGUGAUAUUUCUUUUCUUUUGCAUUUCAUAUUAAAACCAUCACUUAUUAUUUUCAAAAUCUGCUAUCGCUGAAUCAAAUUUGUUGCAUCUAAGAGACUUUUGGGGAACACUGACAUUUUUCCAAGCGAUAAAUUUGACUAC